ACGAACGCUGGCGGCGUGCCUAAUACCUGCAAGUUGAGCGAUGAAGAUUGGUGCUUGCCCCAAUUUGAAGAGCAGCGAACGGGUGAGUAACGCGUGGGGAAUCUGCCUUUGAGCGGGGGACAACAUUUGGAAACGAAUGCUAAUACCGCAUAAUAACUUUAAACAUAAGUUUUAAGUUUGAAAGAUGCAAUUGCAUCACUCAAAGAUGAUCCCGCGUUGUAUUAGCUAGUUGGUGAGGUAAAGGCUCACCAAGGCGAUGAUACAUAGCCGACCUGAGAGGGUGAUCGGCCACAUUGGGACUGAGACACGGCCCAAACUCCUACGGGAGGCAGCAGUAGGGAAACUUCGGCAAUGGACGAAAGUCUGACCGAGCAACGCCGCGUGAGUGAAGAAGGUUUUCGGAUCGUAAAACUCUGUUGGUAGAGAAGAACGUUGGUGAGAGUGGAAAGCUCAUCAAGUGACGGUAACUACCCAGAAAGGGACGGCUAACUACGUG
This 496-nucleotide ribosomal RNA is filed under the name uncultured bacterium. RNAcentral's name for it is "partial 16S ribosomal RNA". It matches the Rfam family "Bacterial small subunit ribosomal RNA", at positions 29 to 507 of the family's 1533-position model. The record is from RNAcentral.